GCACGGGGGGACACGUGUCCCCCCUAAUUAAAAAAAAAUAAAAAAUUACCGCCGUGAUUUCGGAAAAAAAAUAUAAGUGUCCCCCUAAAAAAUUUGAAAAUUUAGGGGUGUCCCCGCGAAUUUUAAAAGUUCAAGUAAGUUGCAGUGGUUUAAUAAAAUUAUAAGGAACUAAAAGGUAAUUUGUACACAUAUAUUUAUAUUAAAAAUAUGAAUAGAUAUAAUUUAAAAACAAAAAAGUAGUUAAUUCAUAUGUUUUAGUCUCUGCAGUCUGUUCUCUCGAGCAGAGCUUGUGCCUGGCUAGUGUAAGUACUCACCUUUUUAUUAAUCCAAAUUACCCACCGAUCAAAUACAAACCGAAUACAAUCACUGAAUCAUCUAUCAGCUACUAGUUAAUUAGAUAUGUGCUUGAGGCUUCUGAUGUGGAGCGCUGCGUUUUCUGUCCUUACCUGUCCGAGCUCCGCCUAAUCCAUGGAUGUUUCUUCUUCAGUUCUUCUGCAGAGUAAUUCCGGAAUCUAAAGAUUAAACAAAGUCAUGGGUGAUGGCCUGAUGGGUACCAGCAGGCUAGCAGAGUAGCAGGCAGCAGCUGAAAAGGGGGAAUUCUCAAUUCUGUGAUUACAAAAUUAAGGGGCAAGAGUUGUUGGCAGACACUCAUUUUUGUCGCAAAAUACUAUACUUUUGGCUUGGCUGUGACUUGUGAGACUGUGGUUGCUGCCUUGCUGGUUCUUGACUAUAGCAUGCAGGUACAUUUAUCAAUCUGUUAUGACUUAUGAGUUAAGAAAAUAUUUUGGUGUCCCCUCUAAGAUUAGAUCCUAGAUCCGCCCCUGCAUG
Molecule: long non-coding RNA, 828 nt
Organism: Daucus carota subsp. sativus
Lineage: Eukaryota; Viridiplantae; Streptophyta; Magnoliopsida; Apiales; Apiaceae
Exons: 3
Source: RefSeq, a predicted model, not a curated record